GCUAAUUUAGUUUAUGUAGAAUUUGUAACUUGUAAUUAUAAGGUUAAAUUAGUA
Molecule: transfer RNA, 54 nt
Filed under: Necator americanus (New World hookworm)
Lineage: Eukaryota; Metazoa; Nematoda; Chromadorea; Rhabditida; Ancylostomatidae
Description: transfer RNA-Thr
Source: RNAcentral